CAGCAGCCGCGGUAAUACGUAGGUGGCAAGCGUUGUCCGGAAUUAUUGGGCGUAAAGGGCUCGCAGGCGGUUUCUUAAGUCUGAUGUGAAAGCCCCCGGCUCAACCGGGGAGGGUCAUUGGAAACUGGAAAACUUGAGUGCAGAAGAGGAGAGUGGAAUUCCACGUGUAGCGGUGAAAUGCGUAGAGAUGUGGAGGAACACCAGUGGCGAAGGCGACUCUCUGGUCUGUAACUGACGCUGAGGAGCGAAAGCGUGGGGAGCGAACAGGAUUAGAUACCCGUGUAGUCCCUGUCUCUUAUAC
Molecule: ribosomal RNA, 301 nt
Filed under: uncultured bacterium
Lineage: Bacteria
Description: partial 16S ribosomal RNA
Rfam family: Bacterial small subunit ribosomal RNA
Source: RNAcentral